UACGUAGGGUCCGAGCGUUGUCCGGAAUUAUUGGGCGUAAAGAGCGCGUAGGCGGUCCGAUAAGUCGGCUGUGAAAGUCAAGGGCUCAACCCUUGAAAGCCGGCCGAUACUGUCGGACUAGAGUCCGGAAGAGGCGAGUGGAAUUCCCGGUGUAGCGGUGAAAUGCGCAGAUAUCGGGAGGAACACCGGUGGCGAAGGCGGGUCUCUGGGCCAAAAACUGACGCUGAGGAGCGAAAAGCGUGGGGAGCGAACAGG
This 255-nucleotide ribosomal RNA is filed under the name uncultured bacterium. RNAcentral's name for it is "partial 16S ribosomal RNA". It matches the Rfam family "Bacterial small subunit ribosomal RNA", at positions 524 to 776 of the family's 1533-position model. The record is from RNAcentral.